RNAcentral lists this ribosomal RNA (730 nucleotides) under uncultured bacterium. RNAcentral's name for it is "bacterial SSU rRNA". It matches the Rfam family "Bacterial small subunit ribosomal RNA", at positions 771 to 1501 of the family's 1533-position model. The record is from RNAcentral.
AACAGGAUUAGAUACCCUGGUAGUCCAUGCCGUAAACGAUGAGUGCUAGGUGUUGGAGGGUUUCCGCCCUUCAGUGCCGGAGCUAACGCAUUAAGCACUCCGCCUGGGGAGUACGACCGCAAGGUUGAAACUCAAAGGAAUUGACGGGGGCCCGCACAAGCGGUGGAGCAUGUGGUUUAAUUCGAAGCUACGCGAAGAACCUUACCAGGUCUUGACAUCUUGCGCUAACCUAAGAGAUUAGGCGUUCCCUUCGGGGACGCAAUGACAGGUGGUGCAUGGUCGUCGUCAGCUCGUGUCGUGAGAUGUUGGGUUAAGUCCCGCAACGAGCGCAACCCUUGUUACUAGUUGCCAGCAUUCAGUUGGGCACUCUAGUGAGACUGCCGGUGACAAACCGGAGGAAGGUGGGGACGACGUCAGAUCAUCAUGCCCCUUAUGACCUGGGCUACACACGUGCUACAAUGGUCGGUACAACGAGUCGCUAACCCGCGAGGGCAAGCUAAUCUCUUAAAGCCGAUCUCAGUUCGGACUGUAGGCUGCAACUCGCCUACACGAAGUCGGAAUCGCUAGUAAUCGCGGAUCAGCAUGCCGCGGUGAAUACGUUCCCGGGCCUUGUACACACCGACCGUCACACCAUGGAAGUUUGUAACGCCCAAAGUCGGUGGCCUAACCAUUUGGAGGGAGCCGCCUAAGGCGGGACAGAUGACUGGGGUGAAGUCGUAACAAGGUAACC